CAGUAGCCACGGGAAUACGAAGGGGGCUAGCGUUGUUCGGAAUUACUGGGCGUAAAGCGCACAUAGGCGGACAUUUAAGUCAGGGGUGAAAUCCCGGGGCUCAACCCCGGAACUGCCUUUGAUACUGGGUGUCUAGAGUAUGGAAGAGGUGAGUGGAAUUCCGAGUGUAGAGGUGAAAUUCGUAGAUAUUCGGAGGAACACCAGUGGCGAAGGCGGCUCACUGGUCCAUUACUGACGCUGAGGUGCGAAAGCGUGGGGAGCAAACAGGAUUAGAUACCCCUGUAGUCCCUGUCUCUUAUAC
This 301-nucleotide ribosomal RNA is filed under the name uncultured bacterium. Its description in RNAcentral is "partial 16S ribosomal RNA". It matches the Rfam family "Bacterial small subunit ribosomal RNA", at positions 509 to 807 of the family's 1533-position model. The record is from RNAcentral.